Molecule: non-coding RNA, 113 nt
Organism: Acanthosepion pharaonis
Lineage: Eukaryota; Metazoa; Mollusca; Cephalopoda; Sepiida; Sepiidae
Source: the annotation of a GenBank genome assembly
UACGGGUAUACCACUUUGAAACAUUGGUUCUCACACAGUCACCGAAGUUAAGUCACGUCGAGCCUGGUCAGUACCUAGACGGGUGACCACUUGAGAAUACAAGGUGCUGUAAU